Molecule: ribosomal RNA, 1018 nt
Filed under: Enterococcus lactis
Lineage: Bacteria; Bacillati; Bacillota; Bacilli; Lactobacillales; Enterococcaceae
Description: bacterial SSU rRNA
Rfam family: Bacterial small subunit ribosomal RNA
Source: RNAcentral
UGCAGUCGAACGCUUCUUUUUCCACCGGAGCUUGCUCCACCGGAAAAAGAGGAGUGGCGAACGGGUGAGUAACACGUGGGUAACCUGCCCAUCAGAAGGGGAUAACACUUGGAAACAGGUGCUAAUACCGUAUAACAAUCGAAACCGCAUGGUUUUGAUUUGAAAGGCGCUUUCGGGUGUCGCUGAUGGAUGGACCCGCGGUGCAUUAGCUAGUUGGUGAGGUAACGGCUCACCAAGGCCACGAUGCAUAGCCGACCUGAGAGGGUGAUCGGCCACAUUGGGACUGAGACACGGCCCAAACUCCUACGGGAGGCAGCAGUAGGGAAUCUUCGGCAAUGGACGAAAGUCUGACCGAGCAACGCCGCGUGAGUGAAGAAGGUUUUCGGAUCGUAAAACUCUGUUGUUAGAGAAGAACAAGGAUGAGAGUAACUGUUCAUCCCUUGACGGUAUCUAACCAGAAAGCCACGGCUAACUACGUGCCAGCAGCCGCGGUAAUACGUAGGUGGCAAGCGUUGUCCGGAUUUAUUGGGCGUAAAGCGAGCGCAGGCGGUUUCUUAAGUCUGAUGUGAAAGCCCCCGGCUCAACCGGGGAGGGUCAUUGGAAACUGGGAGACUUGAGUGCAGAAGAGGAGAGUGGAAUUCCAUGUGUAGCGGUGAAAUGCGUAGAUAUAUGGAGGAACACCAGUGGCGAAGGCGGCUCUCUGGUCUGUAACUGACGCUGAGGCUCGAAAGCGUGGGGAGCAAACAGGAUUAGAUACCCUGGUAGUCCACGCCGUAAACGAUGAGUGCUAAGUGUUGGAGGGUUUCCGCCCUUCAGUGCUGCAGCUAACGCAUUAAGCACUCCGCCUGGGGAGUACGACCGCAAGGUUGAAACUCAAAGGAAUUGACGGGGGCCCGCACAAGCGGUGGAGCAUGUGGUUUAAUUCGAAGCAACGCGAAGAACCUUACCAGGUCUUGACAUCCUUUGACCACUCUAGAGAUAGAGCUUCCCCUUCGGGGCAAAGUGACAGGUGNGCAUG